GGUCUGGUGGCCAUAGCCUGAGCGAAACACCCGAUCCCAUCCCGAACUCGGCCGUUAAGCGCCCAGACGCCAAUGGUACUGCGCCUCAAGACGCGGGAGAGUAGGUCACCGCCAGACCUG
This 120-nucleotide ribosomal RNA is filed under the name Rubellimicrobium thermophilum. The record is from RNAcentral. Lineage: Bacteria; Pseudomonadati; Pseudomonadota; Alphaproteobacteria; Rhodobacterales; Roseobacteraceae.